This is a non-coding RNA of Phrynosoma platyrhinos (Desert horned lizard), 72 nucleotides long. The record is from the annotation of a GenBank genome assembly. Lineage: Eukaryota; Metazoa; Chordata; Lepidosauria; Squamata; Phrynosomatidae.
GGCAACGUGGUGUAGUAGUUUGUGCAUUGGACUAGGACUCUGGGGACCAGGGUUCGAAUCCUGGCUCUGCCA